CUAGCUUGCUAGAAGAUGACGAGUGGCGGACGGGUGAGUAAUGCUUGGGAACUUGCCUUUGCGAGGGGGAUAACAGUUGGAAACGACUGCUAAUACCGCAUAAUGUCUUCGGACCAAACGGGGCUUCGGCUCCGGCGCAAAGAGAGGCCCAAGUGAGAUUAGCUAGUUGGUAAGGUAAAGGCUUACCAAGGCGACGAUCUCUAGCUGUUCUGAGAGGAAGAUCAGCCACACUGGGACUGAGACACGGCCCAGACUCCUACGGGAGGCAGCAGUGGGGAAUAUUGCACAAUGGGGGAAACCCUGAUGCAGCCAUGCCGCGUGUGUGAAGAAGGCCUUCGGGUUGUAAAGCACUUUCAGUUGUGAGGAAAAGUUAGUAGUUAAUACCUGCUAGCCGUGACGUUAACAACAGAAGAAGCACCGGCUAACUCCGUGCCAGCAGCCGCGGUAAUACGGAGGGCGCGAGCGUUAAUCGGAAUUACUGGGCGUAAAGCGCACGCAGGCGGUUUGUUAAGCUAGAUGUGAAAGCCCCGGGCUCAACCUGGGAUGGUCAUUUAGAACUGGCAGACUAGAGUCUUGGAGAGGGGAGUGGAAUUCCAGGUGUAGCGGUGAAAUGCGUAGAUAUCUGGAGGAACAUCAGUGGCGAAGGCGACUCCCUGGCCAAAGACUGACGCUCAUGUGCGAAAGUGUGGGUAGCGAACAGGAUUAGAUACCCUGGUAGUCCACACCGUAAACGCUGUCUACUAGCUGUGUGUGUCUUUAAGACGUGCGUA
Molecule: ribosomal RNA, 770 nt
Filed under: uncultured Alteromonas sp.
Lineage: Bacteria; Pseudomonadati; Pseudomonadota; Gammaproteobacteria; Alteromonadales; Alteromonadaceae
Description: bacterial SSU rRNA
Rfam family: Bacterial small subunit ribosomal RNA
Source: RNAcentral